GUUGAGUGUCGGGUUGAGUGUCGGGUUGAGUGUCGGGUUGAGUGUCGGGUUGAGUGUCAGGCUGAGUGUCGGGCUGAGUGUCGGGCUGAGUGUCAGGCUGUGUGACGAGUUGUGUGUCAACUUUUCAGGCUAUUGUGACUUUUGACACAAAACAGCUUGGUCCACUUCCCCCAACAGGUUGGACGUGCUAGAAGGUCUGACAUCCUCCUCUCCGCUACUGAAAUCUCAAAAUCAGAACGAAAAUAACUUUUACCGAUCAAGAAUGCCACCACCUGUUUGAGGAAGCGAACCAACUGCUUUUCUUCCAGACUGUUUGAAAGGACAUUCUGACCACUUUCCCAACAAGUUAGACGAGUAUGAAAAUCUUCCACAAAUGUUUUCUGCCAUUCAAAUCUAAAAUCAGAAACUUCUUCCACGAAAAACAUUUAAGAGCUAAAGCCUCACAACUUUACUUUACGCACAGUUACAAUCUAGCGGUUGUUUUCCCAUCUUUUGUCCAGUUCUUGGUAAAUAUAUUGAAAGUUAAAGGGUUUCAUUUCUUUCCAGGAUCCUGGUACAGUUGACACAUUAAACUCACAGCAGGGGAAUGGUAGUUCAGACGUUUAUCAUACAAACUCAAAUGUUUUAUUUAAUACAAUAAUAAACCAGCAUUCUAAACUAAACAUGGUUCCCUGAUGUUUAUAGAUGAUCAUCCUGAAAUCGUAAUAAAUCAUAAAAAACACUAAUACUGUAGUAAUACAGUCUGUGUUGUAUACAAAAGCAAUACAUAGAAAAUACAUACAGAAAAUAUGAAAAAUACAAGCCUCCAGCUUGUAAAAAGGUGUGAAGUGAAAGUUCUUUGGGUAAAAGCUUAGAAUACACAUCAUCCUCUCAUAACACUAAUGAGCAACACAAACACAUCAUUCUCUCAUAACACUACUGAGCAACACAAAACACAUCACUCUCUCAUAACACUAAUGAGCAACACAAACACAUCAUUCUCUCAUAACACUAAUGAGCAACACAAACACAUCAUUCUCUCAUAACACUAAUGAGCAACACAAAACACAUCAUUCUCUCAUAACACUAAUGAGCAACACAAACACAUCAUUCUCUCAUAACACUAAUGAGCAACACAAAACACAUCAUUCUCUCAUAACACUAAUGAGCAACACAAACACAUCAUUCUCUCAUAACACUAAUGAGCAAUACAAACACAUCACUCUCUCAUAACACUAAUGAGCAACACAAAACACAUCAAUCAAAUGUAAUUGAUCUAAUAGUGACAUAACAUCGCCUCAGUAGACAGGACUCACUCCACAGUGUAGGACCGUAGGGAUAUAUGUUGGUGCCAGGAUGAAACAGAGAGGAGGGCCUGAGAAGAGAACAGACCUGAUUGGCAGAACAUGUAACAGUAUUUGGUAACAUUCUAACGUGUGUCCAUCGCGUCAUGUGGUCACAGUUCUUGUCAAUUAAACCCCCCCCAAAAAUUGCAUCUCUAUCUGAGAAGCUCACAGUGUCACGUCUCUAUCGAAGAAGCUCACCGUGUCACAUCUCUAUCUGAGAAGCUCACAGUGUCACGUCUCUAUCGAAGAAGCUCACCGUGUCACAUCUCUAUCUGAGAAGCUCACAAUGUCACAUCUCUAUCUGAGAAGCCCACAGUGUCACAUCUCUAUCUGAGAAGCCCACAGUGUCACAUCUCUAUCUGAGAAGCCCACAGUGUCACAGAAGGACGGACGGACAGUUCCUUUUGGCAGGAACAGUAACAUGAUUUGAGAAGCUCCGUGUUGCAGACAGACAGACAAAGACAAUCUGGUGUGACUGACAUCAUCGCUCUAAUAUCCAAAUGGUGAUGACAUUUGACUCCCAGCAUCAUAAUACGUAUUGUCAUAAAAGAUGACAUUUCAUUUAUUUAUUUAUUUAACCAGGCAAGUCAGUUAAGAACAAAUUAUUAUUUACAAUGACGGCUUAGAAGGGGAACAGUGGGUUAACUGCCUUGUUCUCGGGGGAACAGUGGGUUAAACUGCCUUGUUCUCAGGGGAACAGUGGGUUAAACUGCCUUGUUCUCAGGGGAACAGUGGGUUAAACUGCCUUGUUCAGGGGAACAGUGGGUUAACUGCCUUGUUCUCAGGGGAACAGUGGGUUAAACUGCCUUGUUCUCAGGGGAACAGUGGGUUAAACUACCUUGUUCUCAGGGGAACAGUGGGUUAAACUGCAUUGUUGUCAGGGGGCAGAACAACAGAUUUUUACCUUGUCAGCUCGGGGGAUUCCAUCUAGCAACCUUUCGGUUACCGGCCCAACCUGCCGCUCACAACUUGUCAUGAAACACAUUUAGACCUGUUGUGACACACAUUGCAUUAUUUAAUGUCUGGUUAUAACACCUACAUAAGUGUCAAAACCCACAACAGUUGUUAUUGUAUGGCUGGUUAUGACACCUACAUAAAAGUGUCAAAGCCCACAAAACCAACCACACGAGGCAAAACAUUUUAUUACACCAUGGCCACCUAACCAUUUUAAAAUUCUCAUUGUAAUUGCGUACAUUGGAUGUCAGACAUGCAGCUACCCCAAUGCUCUGUUUCUGAUGACUGGGAUGAAUGUAGGAGCAGAUUUCAGGAGCAGGACAAGACACCCUCUAUGUGACUGAUGACUGGGAUGAAUGUAGGAGCAGAUUUCAGGAGCAGGACAAGACACCGUCUAUGUGACUGAUGAC
Molecule: long non-coding RNA, 2689 nt
Organism: Oncorhynchus tshawytscha (Chinook salmon)
Lineage: Eukaryota; Metazoa; Chordata; Actinopteri; Salmoniformes; Salmonidae
Source: Ensembl